GAGAAGCUGGUGAGAGUUCUAAGAAAAGCAGUGGGCCUAUUGAUGACUUUUUUCUGAGGAGGAAUUCUUGUACUCCUCAGCAAGCCACUGCUCUUACAGAGUCAAUUCUAAACAUGAUUGUUAAAGACAUGAGACCUCUUUCCCUGGUGGAUGGAGAAGGCUUUCGUGAAAUGGUUUCUACAUUCAAUCCUGGAUAUAUCAUUCCAUCAAGAACCUACUUUACAAGAUUAAUGGAGCAAAAAUAUGAAAAAACCUGUCAAAAAGUUAAGGAAACUAUUCAGGAAGGAAGAAGCUUCAUUGCACUGACCACUGACAUCUGGACUAGCCUCGCAACAGAAGCAUACCUAGGUGUCACA
Molecule: long non-coding RNA, 356 nt
Organism: Xyrauchen texanus (razorback sucker)
Lineage: Eukaryota; Metazoa; Chordata; Actinopteri; Cypriniformes; Catostomidae
Exons: 3
Source: RefSeq, a predicted model, not a curated record